UGAGGAACCUGCCCCAAACUUUGGGAUAACAGUUGGAAACGACUGCUAAUACCAGAUGCCGUUACUUUGUCGCAUGGCGAGGUAACGAAAGUUUUUCGGUUUGGGAGGGCCUCGCGGCCUAUCAGCUUGUUGGUGAGGUAAUGGCUCACCAAGGCAACGACGGGUAGCUGGUCUGAGAGGAUGAUCAGCCACACUGGGACUGAGACACGGCCCAGACUCCUACGGGAGGCAGCAGUGGGGAAUCUUGCGCAAUGGGCGAAAGCCUGACGCAGCAACGCCGCGUGCGGGAUGAAGGCCUUAGGGUUGUAAACCGCUUUCAGCAGGGAAGAAAAUGACUGUACCUGCAGAAGAAGGUGCGGCCAACUACGUGCCAGCAGCCGCGGUGACAC
RNAcentral lists this ribosomal RNA (389 nucleotides) under uncultured Actinomycetes bacterium. Its description in RNAcentral is "bacterial SSU rRNA". It matches the Rfam family "Bacterial small subunit ribosomal RNA", at positions 118 to 526 of the family's 1533-position model. Lineage: Bacteria; Bacillati; Actinomycetota; Actinomycetes. The record is from RNAcentral.